Molecule: ribosomal RNA, 253 nt
Filed under: uncultured bacterium
Lineage: Bacteria
Description: partial 16S ribosomal RNA
Rfam family: Bacterial small subunit ribosomal RNA
Source: RNAcentral
UACAGAGGGUGCAAGCGUUAAUCGGAAUUACUGGGCGUAAAGGGAGCGUAGGUGGCUCGAUAAGUCAGAUGUGAAAUCCCCGGGCUCAACCUGGGAACUGCAUCUGAUACUGUUGAGCUAGAGUAUGUGAGAGGAAGGUAGAAUUCCAGGUGUAGCGGUGAAAUGCGUAGAGAUGUGGAGGAAUACCGAUGGCGAAGGCAGCCCCCUGGGAUAACACUGACGCUCAUGUACGAAAGCGUGGGUAGCAAACAGG